This 465-nucleotide ribosomal RNA is filed under the name Vreelandella stevensii. RNAcentral's name for it is "partial 16S ribosomal RNA". It matches the Rfam family "Bacterial small subunit ribosomal RNA", at positions 338 to 795 of the family's 1533-position model. Lineage: Bacteria; Pseudomonadati; Pseudomonadota; Gammaproteobacteria; Oceanospirillales; Halomonadaceae. The record is from RNAcentral.
CCUACGGGAGGCAGCAGUGGGGAAUAUUGGACAAUGGGGGCAACCCUGAUCCAGCCAUGCCGCGUGUGUGAAGAAGGCCCUCGGGUUGGAAAGCACUUGCAGUGAGGAAGAACGCCUGGUGGUUAAUACCCAUCAGGAAAGACAUCACUCACAGAAGAAGCACCGGCUAACUCCGUGCCAGCAGCCGCGGUAAUACGGAGGGUGCGAGCGUUAAUCGGAAUUACUGGGCGUAAAGCGCGCGUAGGUUGCUUGAUAAGCCGGUUGUGAAAGCCCCGGGCUCAACCUGUGAACGGCAUCCGGAACUGUCAAGCUAGAGUGCAGGAGAGGAAGGUAGAAUUCCCGGUGUAGCGGUGAAAUGCGUAGAGAUCGGGAGGAAUACCAGUGGCGAAGGCGGCCUUCUGGACUGACACUGACACUGAGGUGCGAAAGCGUGGGUAGCACACAGGAUUAGAUACCCCUGUAGUC